CCUACGGGUGGCAGCAGUGAGGAAUAUUGGUCAAUGGGCGGAAGACUGAACCAGCCAAGUAGCGUGCAGGAUGACGGCACUACGGGUUGUAAACUGCUUUUAUCCGGGAAUAAAGCCCCUUACGUGUAGCGCUUUGCAUGUACCGUAUGAAUAAGGACCGGCUAAUUCCGUGCCAGCAGCCGCGGUAAUACGGAAGGUCCGGGCGUUAUCCGGAUUUAUUGGGUUUAAAGGGAGCGUAGGCCGCAUGUCAAGCGCGCUGGUAAAUGCCCGGGCACAACCCCGGCCUUGCGGCGCGAACUGGCGGGCUUGAGUCCGAGGAAAGCAGGCGGAAUGCGUGGUGUAGCGGGGAAAUGCUUAGAU
RNAcentral lists this ribosomal RNA (360 nucleotides) under uncultured bacterium. RNAcentral's name for it is "partial 16S ribosomal RNA". It matches the Rfam family "Bacterial small subunit ribosomal RNA", at positions 338 to 695 of the family's 1533-position model. The record is from RNAcentral.